This is a long non-coding RNA of Panicum virgatum (switchgrass), 706 nucleotides long. RefSeq lists it as uncharacterized. The transcript has 2 exons. NCBI's taxonomy places the organism in Eukaryota, Viridiplantae, Streptophyta, Magnoliopsida, Poales, Poaceae. The record is from RefSeq and is a predicted model, not a curated record.
AAAAGCCCUGCCGUGUCUUCUUCUCCACACCUCUCCCUGGUUCUAUUCUGUUGGCUUGUUCGCCCCCAAAACUCAAACCAUGUCGAGCUAGGGUUUUACAUGAGGCAACAGCUCCGCAGCAGCUCCAAUCCUCCACUCGAAAUACCCUUCUGUUGAAGAUUGUGGGUCAGCACGGGGACGACGGGUGGCCGGAGGGACUUGGGACAGCAAUGGUGGCGACUCCGGCGGCGGCUUCAGUGCCACUAAGCUCACGAUUGAUGCCUCCCCAAUAUUGAUUUGCUACCAGGUUUGCUUCACCAGUGGCUUCAUCAUCCUAGGCUGCCCAAGUCAGUGCAUAAUUCAUGGUUGUCCAGCAUGCAUAUCAGUGCAUUUUUCUUUCAAGUUCUGCCACCAAUGCAGCACAUGGUACUGAUUGAGAUGAUGAAUCUGCCUUGCGUCAGCAUGUAGAUCCCAUAAGCACGACAAAUUUGACACUAGAAUUGAUAUGAUUGGAAGACAUAAGAUUUAUUCAUCAUAGUCUUGCACGGCUGCUUAAUUUGGCCUUCUUAUAGUUGUUUAGUGUGUCUGGUUGAAAUUGAUGAUUUCUGCAAGUAGUAAAAUUUCAUUUAUGUGAUACAGUCAAAGGUUCAUGUAACUCAUAAAGAUGUGGUUGUCAAUCUGUAAACUUUGUAAUGAUCAAAUGCAAUGUGAUUUAAAAUUUAGCUGA